UACGUAGGGUGCGAGCGUUAAUCGGAAUUACUGGGCGUAAAGCGUGCGCAGGCGGUUCGUUGUGUCGGUGGUGAAAUCCCCGGGCUUAACCUGGGAAUGGCCAUGGAAACUGGCGAACUGGAGUGCGGCAGAGGGGGGUGGAAUUCCUGGUGUAGCAGUGAAAUGCGUAGAUAUCAGGAGGAAUACCGAUGGCGAAGGCAGGUCCCUGGGCUGACACUGACGCUCAUGCACGAAAGCGUGGGGAGCAAACAGG
RNAcentral lists this ribosomal RNA (253 nucleotides) under uncultured bacterium. RNAcentral's name for it is "partial 16S ribosomal RNA". It matches the Rfam family "Bacterial small subunit ribosomal RNA", at positions 524 to 776 of the family's 1533-position model. The record is from RNAcentral.